ACAGAAUAUAAAUGUAUGUCACUAUAUAUAUAUAUUUUUUUAUUUUUAUUUUGAGUUCAUUGUACAUGUAUGAAUAGAAUAAUUAGGUUGCAUUAAUAAUAAUUAUAAUUGUUUAAUAUCAAUUUAAUCGGAUAUGAAUAUAAGUCAAUGAUUUUUUAUAUUUAUUUUAUUUAUUUUUUGUUUGUUUGUUUUUUGUACUUUUUGUUUUGUUUUUGUUUUUUUGAGUUUGGAUUUUUUUUGUAUGGGGAGGGGGAUGUUCAGAUAAGAACUGACACUGACAGGUCAAAAUGAAUAAACAUGUUUUGUAUUUUUCUUUGAUAAAAUGCAUAUAA
Molecule: long non-coding RNA, 332 nt
Filed under: Mytilus galloprovincialis (Mediterranean mussel)
Lineage: Eukaryota; Metazoa; Mollusca; Bivalvia; Mytilida; Mytilidae
Source: RNAcentral